AGCUGACCCUCUUCGUCUGUCUCCUACGCCCCAGUCCCCUGUACCUUCCACCACUCCACCUCCGACAACUCAGGCUAACACCCCAUCAUCACCACCACCACCUCUCAGCCUUCCACUGUGCUCACUCUCUUCCCAAUGCUGGUGCUUGGAAGUUAAGGACAAAAUUUCAGCCCUCAAAGAACCCCAUGUAAUGGAGGAGACGGAUGAACAAACGAGUGACAGGGAAGUGGGAGAAGCUAGCACAGAAUGCUGGGGGAGGAGAAGGUUGACUCCCAGCUCUGAUCAAGUCUUAAAGCAUGAAGACUUCUACCAGAAACUUGGAGAGGACAUUCCAAGCAGAGGGAACAGCAAGUGCAAAGAAGAGGGUUCGGCGUGGGUGUUGGAGAAGGCAUUCAGGAUACUGCAGGCACUUCUGUGCUUCUGAAACCAAUGGCAGAUCACACUGACUCUGCUGGUGCUGGUUUGACUGAAUAACUUGACCUUCUGGGACAUCUCUACCAUAUGAGCAGCUCUGAGGCUUGUAGCUGUGCUGAGAAACAGGUAAAGUGAAGUGCCCAAGGGCCUAACAUUCAUCCCUCAUGUCUGCACAUCUACAUCCUCAAACAUAAGGACAAAUAAGAUGAUUCUGGAAAAAAAUAAUGAAUAGAAAAUACUUCUUUUACACCAGGACCGCACACUCAUGCUUUGCCAUUGAUCAUCCACUAGGCAUCAGUAACGGAAGCAUGAUUUCUAUGCCUUUAUGCCAUUGCAAUAGAAUCAUACUUCUUCCUUUCUUUUCUUUGUAACUAUGGACAAAUGACAUGACCUUGUUACACUCAUAUAAUGGGCAUAACUCAUAGAAACUCACCCAGUGUGGGAAACUGAGAUUAAAGUCCUCGCUCCAACGUGAAUUGGGGAAACCACAAGAGUCAACAUAGCUCAUGCCUGCUCAGUUGGCAGAACCAUGUUCAAAUGGCCUUUCACGUGCUCUCCCGCCUCUGCUUGUUGGCAAGUUAAAAAAUGCCUCGGAUGAAUCAGCUGACUUUUCACUAUAGCUAUUAACAUUGGCUAGGCAAUUCCUUUGAGAAGCCUAGGUCUGACAUUUUCACAUGUCAGUUUGAUAAGGUGUUAGGUGAAAACUUGGGAACUUCUCUGCUCAGUUGGAAUAAACAUGUGUUAUGAAGUGAAUUACUAGAGAAGAAAAUCAUUUUUUUUUUUUUAAAGAUUUUA
Equus quagga is the source of this 1209-nucleotide long non-coding RNA. RefSeq lists it as uncharacterized. The record is from RefSeq and is a predicted model, not a curated record. Lineage: Eukaryota; Metazoa; Chordata; Mammalia; Perissodactyla; Equidae. The transcript has 3 exons.